AACUCCUACGGGAGGCAGCAGUGGGGAAUAUUGGACAAUGGGGGCAACCCUGAUCCAGCAAUGCCGCGUGUGUGAAGAAGGCCUGCGGGUUGUAAAGCACUUUCAGUGGGGAGGAAAAGCCUGGGGCUAAUAUCCCUGGGUCUUGACGUUACCCACAGAAGAAGCACCGGCUAACUCCGUGCCAGCAGCCGCGGUAAU
This 198-nucleotide ribosomal RNA is filed under the name uncultured bacterium. Its description in RNAcentral is "partial 16S ribosomal RNA". It matches the Rfam family "Bacterial small subunit ribosomal RNA", at positions 334 to 524 of the family's 1533-position model. The record is from RNAcentral.